This 685-nucleotide long non-coding RNA is filed under the name Homo sapiens (human). Its description in RNAcentral is "HSALNT0370684". Lineage: Eukaryota; Metazoa; Chordata; Mammalia; Primates; Hominidae. The record is from RNAcentral.
GAGGAUUUCUGCUCCAUGAAGUCUCUCAGAGAUCCAGGCUGAUACAGAGUUCAUCUUAACAAGUGCUUUCGUAGUCACCACAGCAGUGGGAAAUGAACAUGGAAAUCAUUGAUCAUGGCUCUUAAAGUUUCUGUUCCAAAGUGACACAGCUUGUUCCAUGUGAAGCAACCUUUCUGCUCAGAUAUUCCCUGGCCUGCAAUAGAAGCUCCAGUUUGGGCUUUGGAAACUCAAGUCUCAGAGUUCUUCAGGGAGGCUCUUACAAUUGUGUAGCAUUGGCAGCACACACAAGAAAAUGGACCAAUCUACCAACCACAGACCAGGUGCAACCAUGGAUACCAGGACCAUAAAGUGCCUUUGUCUUGGGGUCACUUCGAGAAAACAUUGUAGAUCCAGGGGCUCUGAGCUGAAGAGGAAAAACCAUCAUAGUGUUCUAGGACUCAUUCUUGGAGCCCAGUCUCCAUACUGUGAGGAAGCCCAAAAGGCACACACUAACAGAACACGUGGAAAAGCUUCAGCCUCGUGUAGAUGUUCUGGUCAACAUCCCAGUUGAUGUCACAGCCAACAGCCUGCAUCAAGUGCCUGACACGUGAGUGAUGACACCUCCAGAUGAUUCCAGCCCCUAGCCAUUGGAUCACCCCCAGCUGUCAAAUCUUCCAGCUGAGGCCCCAGACAUUGUGGGGCAGAG